AUGAAGUCGGAAUUGCUAGUAAUCGCGGAUCAGCAUGCCGCGGUGAAUACGUUCCCGGGCCUUGUACACACCGCCGGUCACACCAUGGGAGCCGGUAAUACCCGAAGUCAGUAGUCCAACCACGUGAGGACGCUGCCGAAGGUAGGAUUGGCGACUGGGGUGAAGUCGUAACAAGGUAUC
Molecule: ribosomal RNA, 180 nt
Filed under: uncultured bacterium
Lineage: Bacteria
Description: partial 16S ribosomal RNA
Rfam family: Bacterial small subunit ribosomal RNA
Source: RNAcentral